GUCCCUGUAGCGCAAUAGAUAGCACGUUGGACUUCUAAUACAAAGGCCGUAGAUUCAAAUUCUACCUGGGAUG
Molecule: transfer RNA, 73 nt
Filed under: Trichonephila inaurata madagascariensis
Lineage: Eukaryota; Metazoa; Arthropoda; Arachnida; Araneae; Nephilidae
Rfam family: tRNA
About the family: Transfer RNA (tRNA) molecules are approximately 80 nucleotides in length. Their secondary structure includes four short double-helical elements and three loops (D, anti-codon, and T loops). Further hydrogen bonds mediate the characteristic L-shaped molecular structure. tRNAs have two regions of fundamental functional importance: the anti-codon, which is responsible for specific mRNA codon recognition, and the 3' end, to which the tRNAs corresponding amino acid is attached (by aminoacyl-tRNA synthetases). tRNAs cope with the degeneracy of the genetic code in two manners: having more than one tRNA (with a specific anti-codon) for a particular amino acid; and 'wobble' base-pairing, i.e. permitting non-standard base-pairing at the 3rd anti-codon position.
Source: Rfam by way of RNAcentral